UACGUAGGGGCGAGCGUUAUCCGGAAUUAUUGGGCGUAAAGGGUUCGCAGGCGGCCUUGUAAGUCAGAUGUGAAAGACAGCGGCUUAACCGUUGUAAGCAUUUGAAACUGCAGGGCUUGAGUACAGGAGAGGAAAGCGGAAUUCCUAGUGUAGCGGUGAAAUGCGUAGAUAUUAGGAGGAACACCAGUGGCGAAGGCGGCUUUCUGGACUGAUACUAACGCUGAGGAACGAAAGCGUGGGGAGCAAACAGGAUUAGAUACCCUGGUAGUUCCUGA
This 275-nucleotide ribosomal RNA is filed under the name uncultured prokaryote. Its description in RNAcentral is "partial 16S ribosomal RNA". It matches the Rfam family "Bacterial small subunit ribosomal RNA", at positions 524 to 800 of the family's 1533-position model. The record is from RNAcentral.